Molecule: ribosomal RNA, 358 nt
Filed under: uncultured bacterium
Lineage: Bacteria
Description: bacterial SSU rRNA
Rfam family: Bacterial small subunit ribosomal RNA
Source: RNAcentral
CGUUAAUCGGAGUUACUGGGCGUAAAGGGCGCSYWKGMGGUUGAAUAAGUGAGAUGUAAAAUCCCUGGGCUUAACCUAGGCAGGUCAUCUUAAACUGUUCGACUGGAGUAUUGUAGAGGGUAGUGGAAUUUCCGGUGUAGCGGUGAAAUGCGUAGAGAUCGGAAGGAACACCAGUGGCGAAGGCGGCUACCUGGACAAAUACUGACGCUGAGGCGCGAAAGCGUGGGGAUCAAACAGGAUUAGAUACCCUGGUAGUCCACGCUGUAAACGAUGAGAACUAGAUGUUGGUAGGCAUGACCUAUUAGUAUCGAAGCUAACGCGAUAAGUUCUCCGCCUGGGGAGUACGACCGCAAGGUUA